GAAGGAUAUCAAACAUCAAAUUUAUUUACAUUAACAGAAGAGGGCAACUUCUUUUAGGAUCCCCUUCACAAUCAGUAGUUUUUUUUUUUUUAACUAUGCAGUUCAACAAUAGGACAAAUGACAUGAUUUACAGAUAGUAAUGGAGAUGAGGGAGGUAUUAUGGAUCAACAGGUCCUGCCAUUGCCUCAUCAUCUGAGUCAUAUUCAGCUUCACUUAACUCCUCGUCACUCGACUUGUCCUCCGGGACAGCUCCAACGUCUUCUGGCUUAGCAUAUUUUUGACAAUAUUCUUUAACUCUUUGUUCAUAUGCAGUUCGGUCUCGCAUCAUCAGGGCAGCUGCCUCCCCAUUCAAUGGGUCCGACGGAUUAGGAUACAAGAGAAGUUGUGGGAGAAACACUUCAAACACAUUUGUCAAGUCAAACAUGGGACUCCAGGUCUGGUUGAUAACAUCUAAACAAAC
Molecule: unclassified non-coding RNA, 460 nt
Filed under: Hevea brasiliensis (rubber tree)
Lineage: Eukaryota; Viridiplantae; Streptophyta; Magnoliopsida; Malpighiales; Euphorbiaceae
Source: RNAcentral